Molecule: transfer RNA, 77 nt
Filed under: Salinisphaera sp.
Lineage: Bacteria; Pseudomonadati; Pseudomonadota; Gammaproteobacteria; Salinisphaerales; Salinisphaeraceae
Also listed under: 1 other name
Description: tRNA-Arg
Rfam family: tRNA
About the family: Transfer RNA (tRNA) molecules are approximately 80 nucleotides in length.
Source: RNAcentral
GCGCCCGUAGCUCAGCUGGAUAGAGCACCGGCCUUCGAAGCCGGGUGUCGUAGGUUCGAAUCCUACCGGGCGCACCA